Molecule: transfer RNA, 72 nt
Filed under: Bos taurus (domestic cattle)
Lineage: Eukaryota; Metazoa; Chordata; Mammalia; Artiodactyla; Bovidae
Also listed under: 5 other names
Rfam family: tRNA
About the family: Transfer RNA (tRNA) molecules are approximately 80 nucleotides in length. Their secondary structure includes four short double-helical elements and three loops (D, anti-codon, and T loops).
Source: Rfam by way of RNAcentral
UCCCUGGUGGUCCAGUGGUUAGGACUCUGCGCUUUCACUGCUGAGGGUCUGGGUUCAAUCCCUGGUUGGGAA